Molecule: ribosomal RNA, 328 nt
Filed under: uncultured Lachnospiraceae bacterium
Lineage: Bacteria; Bacillati; Bacillota; Clostridia; Lachnospirales; Lachnospiraceae
Description: bacterial SSU rRNA
Rfam family: Bacterial small subunit ribosomal RNA
Source: RNAcentral
GAUGAACGCUGGCGGCGUGCUUAACACAUGCAAGUCGAACGAAGCUUUUCUGCGGAUCCUUCGGGUGAAGGAGGAAAUGACUGAGUGGCGGACGGGUGAGUAACGCGUGGGUAACCUGCCUCAUACAGGGGGAUAGCAGUUGGAAACGACUGAUAAUACCGCAUAAGCGCACGAGAUCGCAUGAUCAUGUGUGAAAAACUCCGGUGGUAUGAGAUGGAUCCGCGUCUGAUUAGCUUGUUGGUGGGGUAACGGCUCACCAAGGCGACGAUCAGUAGCCGACCUGAGAGGGUGACCGGCCACAUUGGGACUGAGACACGGCCCAAACUCC